Molecule: small nuclear RNA, 103 nt
Organism: Cucurbita pepo subsp. pepo (vegetable marrow)
Lineage: Eukaryota; Viridiplantae; Streptophyta; Magnoliopsida; Cucurbitales; Cucurbitaceae
Source: RefSeq, a predicted model, not a curated record
UCAAAGAGAGGUUAAAACGGGUAAAAAUUGGAACGAUAGAGAGAAGAUUAGCAUGGCCCUUGUGGAAGGAUGACACACAAAUCGAAAAAUGGUCCAAAUAUUU